Molecule: long non-coding RNA, 4233 nt
Organism: Brassica napus (rape)
Lineage: Eukaryota; Viridiplantae; Streptophyta; Magnoliopsida; Brassicales; Brassicaceae
Exons: 7
Source: RefSeq, a predicted model, not a curated record
AAUGUAGUGGCAGUAAACUAUGAAAUUUCUUAAUUAUCAUUAUAUAAAGCAUUACAAAAUUGAUUUUUAAGUUGAUCGUGAAGAGGAAUAUAAUUUAAGAGAGAGUUACAUAUUUAGACACAUUUGUCUUUUUUCUUACUCAAUUAAACAUUUUAUGUAUGUAAGACACAAUUGCUGAUUUUGAUGCAAUAUUGAGACCAUAAUACCCUUCUGCUAAAGAAACAAGAUUGAUUGCGGUAAUGAAAGCAUAAAGGGAGCUUAUUAGAUGUUUUAUUAGUUUAGUUGACAUUAAUUGGUUUUGUAUUUCCCCAACAUAUUUUAUUGGUCAUUAUUACAAAUUAUAAUGUAUAAAAUUUUAUAUUUAUGCGUAAAACAAAUUAUGAUUUUUUCUCUUGUACAUUUUGAUAUCCAUAAUGUAUAUAUUUCUUGUAAAAUUUAUAAUAUAUAUAUAUGGAUGGUGCAGUCGUGGAUGGGAGAUAUGUGAACUUGUGGACGAGAUUUCGUGGACGAAUUCUCGUGGACAAGGUUUUCAAUCUUACAAGAGGUUUCGUAGACGGGAUUUCGUGGACAAAGUCUUGUAGAUGGUUUUAGUGGGUUAAGUUCAUCAUUUUCAUAAAAAGAUGAUCAAGCUUUUCUUUCAUAUAUAGUAAAUUAUCAUCAAAAGAACAAUAACUAAUUUCAAAUGGACCAAAAAAUUGUAACUAAAGUUCUUUUAACAAAGUUCCAUGGAUGAGAUUGUACGAACGAAGUUUGUGAAUGAAGUUUUAUCAACCUCUGUAUACACUACCACCUAUGUAUCCAUUAACACCAUAACCUCCACUCAUGUAUCCACAACCACCUCCACUGUACCACCACAACCUCCACCUUUCGAAUAACCACAUCCACCACCAUUGUAUCCACGAGUCUCUUAUAUCUACCCUCACGUUUUCCAUCUUCGUAACCACCUUCUCCUCCAUAACCACCACAGCCUCCACUGGAUCUAUCUUCUUCAUCAUCAAAGAGAUUGCUGGACAUGGAAAUUGCUGGAUAUGAAAAGCAUGGGCGACAUGUGAAUUAAAUGUUGCAUUAGAGACAUCGGCUUCACUGUCUGCUUAAGAAGAAAAUAAAAAAAAAUAUUUUUUCUUAUUUUCUUGUAUAUCAAUUAAAAAUAAGCAUAAAAGAGAGAGAAAAAAGAAAUAUGUAUAUGAAAUUCUCAUAGUUCAAUUAAAAGUAAACCUUGGAUGUAUUCGUAGUAAAGAUCUGAAAUUUUCCAACCUGAGAUUUCAGAAUAGAUUUUUCUUAGCUCCCAAUCUCAGGUUUCCAAGAAUUUUAGAUUAAAAAAAAAAUAGAAAAAGAUAAAGACGCGAUAACAAAAAUUAGUGAUUUAAAAUUAUAAAGAAAAAGUCUACAAAUUUAGCGAAGAAGAAGAUUCAGAAGGAUGUGUAAGAUGAGAGAUGAAGAUGACGACAAAUUGAGGCAAGAUUAAGUUUAUGGAAUUAGAAAAUAUGAAACCAAAAGGUAAAAGUUAAAUAGAAUAAUUUUAGAUAAUAUUGAAGAUAAUUUUGACACAUGUUACAAUACUUUCUCUCUAGUUAAAGGGCAAUUCAGACAAAUGAACAUAAGAAAGUGUUAUUUUGACCCAAAGUGUCUUUAUAUGUAAUUGAUAACUCAUAAUGUGUCUUAAAAAGUAAAUUUUUCAUAAUAAUUUAAUAACAAAAAAACUUAGUUGAUAUAUAAUUUAAUACCAGUAUUAUAAUAGUUUAUAGUAUUUUAAUUAAGUUCAUUUAUGUCAUUUGAAGAUGAAUUUAGAGAUUUUAGUGCAUAUAUGUCUUCAUUUGCACAAUCUAAAAGUCUGAGAAAAUAUUGAAGAAAAAUCUGCACAUUUUUAAACUUAGUGACCAAAUUAUAAAAGAAAAAUAUUUAAGGACUACAGAUGCAAUAUUAAAAACUUGGCCAUUGUUGAUGAGCUUCAAUUUAGAGCAUAACAAAAGAGAACGAUAUACUGAACUUAGAUGUGGUUCGCCGACGAUCACGGAAGAGAAGCAUAAAUCGGUGAGACUGCCAAGAUCGUGGCGGGUCUAAAAUGAAAUCAAGUCGAUGUAAUUGAGGGUUUGACGGACGCGGAUGAGCUGCGGUGUAGACGAAGUCGACAGAGACGCCGUAGGGGAUGAAGGCACGAUGGCGAGGAUGACCACGAAUGGAGUGACGAGGCAUCUGAGCGCAAGGAGAAUGCCGUAACACUUUAAAGUUUGAUGGAAUGUGAAAUCACGGAGGAGUUGUCGUGCUUUCGCGGUGAAUAAGGAAGACACAGACAUCGCGACAAUAGUGAUGUUGUGGUGGACGAGAGACUCGCAAACGACGACCAACCAUGGAUUUAUGUUGCUUCAAGUUUGAGAUUCACAAUAUAUUUGAGUUUACCGUGUUUUCUGCAACUAUGGCGAGGUGAAUAAUAAUAAUUUACUAUUUAGUUAGAUUUUAGUUAGAUUUCAAUUGUUAGGUGAGUUGGGAGAUGUGAAAGGUGUAUUGAGAGAAGUAAAAACGUGUGAGGAGCAUAAACUGAUUUAUAAUCAAACAAGUAAUAAAAGAGGAAUAUGAGUUUCAGGGAGGACGUUUACGUCAAUCGUUCAAUAGGGAGGUUACGUUUUUGUCACGUCACACACGGAUCAAAGUAUUAUUGGGCUUUUCUUUUUUUUUACGAGCCCAAAUGUUAAUCUGAAUGGCCCUUUGCUCUCCCUCUUCUUCAUUUCCGGUUGACGAUGUGAAAAUAUAUAACUCUUCGGCUCUUAAGCACUCCGACCACCGCAUGUGUAACGUCAUCCGCUUUCCCCUUACAUCUCCUUUAAUCUUAACCUUUACGUCGAACCCACUACUAUUCCGUUUUCAAUCUUUUAGGAACAUAAUCUUUUCUAAUUUUCAUUUGAUCUGAACCAGAGAGGAUCAGCAGAAGGACGGAUCGGAAAGAAGUUGAACAUGAACGUGAGGCUCAAUCAUCAAGUUAACAAGUUAUUAAACUUCAGAUCAAGGUCGAUGAUAAGACAUGUCAAUUGUCGAUGAGAAGACAGGUCAAAUCGUUGGAUGCUUUCUCAGUUUAAACGGCUAUGAAAGCUCACAAAACCUGAUCUUCCACAAUCCAAUCGACAAACCAAAUCAGAAUAUCAAAAGAUCUACAUUCUUCAGAAGACACAGAGAUAGGCUUCACUAACUCACACUAUAGUCCUAAAUGUAGACCUUUAGAUUUUAGUGGGGGGGGUGGUUUAACAAAAACAGUGCUUAAUGUCAACCUAGCUUCGGAGCUGACAAGAAGGCGGAUAAUAACUAGCAGUGGCUGUCGACUAAAGGUGCAUCACUCGGUUGAUACAAUGCGAGUUGCAAGAAAAGUUUCACGUUAAAUGUGCAAAACUGAUGCCAAAAUGCAGAUGGGACCAUAUGAACUUUGUAAUGCUAUGCCCUUCAAAUGCAUCCUCUAAGUUCCCCUGUGGAGAGACUAAUCCAAAAGAAAUAAAAUGCAAGCGUAUUCCCAGUAAAGGGUAUUGUCAUUUUCAUGUGUUGAUAGGAAUUAUAAGGUGAUUCUUAUUUUUGAAAAUAGAUUGCUUACAAUCACUUUCUCUAGGCCACAACACUCUCAGCCUAAUCAAGUAUCCAAAAAGACUGACAUCAUUUAGCUCCAGAGCAAGCCUGUUCAUGGAUUACCCAAGAAAUAUGUUCUAUGUUGUUCAUGACUUGCAAAUGAAGAGAAAUAUGGUUGUUUUUACUCUUUUGUUUGCGAUUUUGAUCAAAUCACAAACUUUCCAAAGUGUCUCUAUAUCUUUUCUUGCAGGGAUCAAUGCAUGUCUGAAAAACAUAGCCUUGAACAAGCUUGCUUACAAAGGAUAUCUUCAAGAUAUAGUAGCAGGAGGAACAAUGGAGGCGAUCCAUUUCUAAUGAUGACUUGAACGGUUAUAGUGUGUAGUUUUGAGCCAAGCAAGAAGAAAACUCUGACACAAAGACGAAUUGAUGUUGAAGUCUUGGAGAGCAGGAGCAAGAACUGCAAACAGUUCAUGGGUCUUGGAUUCUAUUGCAGAUUGCCAAAUUCUAGACUUGAUAUAAUAAAUUUGUGAGAUUACAUCUUUGGGUAUUUUGUUUUAGUAAUUUCAUUUGUUUCCUUGCCGUUAAUGCUUGCAGAUCUUAGAUUUGUAGAUGAAACUGAGAGUGUUGACUCAUAUAGUUUUGCAUCAUAACUCAGCAAAAAAGUUAUAUAUAUAUAAUUUACGAUUA